GAAAUGCGAUAAGUAAUGUGAAUUGCAGAAUUCCGUGAAUCAUCGAAUCUUUGAACGCACAUUGCGCCCUCUGGCAUUCCGGGGGGCAUGCCUGUCCGAGCGUCAUUGCAAACCCUCAAGCACGGCUUGUGUGUUGGGUCACCACGUCCCCGAUAUUCAGGGGACGGGCCUGAAAGGCAGUGGCGGCGUUCGCGUCUCAGCGAUCAGCCCGAGCGUAUGGGGCUCUGUCACACGCUCGCGGUGGUUGGACCGACGUCACGUCCGGCUCUCGAGUUCUUCUCUCUCUCAGGUUGACCUCGGAUCAGGUAGGGAUACCCGCUGAACUUAAGC
RNAcentral lists this unclassified non-coding RNA (330 nucleotides) under plant metagenome. RNAcentral's name for it is "partial contains 5.8S ribosomal RNA, internal transcribed spacer 2, and large subunit ribosomal RNA". The stretch from base 1 to 105 matches the Rfam family "5.8S ribosomal RNA", at positions 50 to 154 of the family's 154-position model. The record is from RNAcentral.